This 253-nucleotide ribosomal RNA is filed under the name uncultured bacterium. RNAcentral's name for it is "partial 16S ribosomal RNA". It matches the Rfam family "Bacterial small subunit ribosomal RNA", at positions 524 to 776 of the family's 1533-position model. The record is from RNAcentral.
UACGGAGGAUGCAAGCGUUAUCCGGAAUGAUUGGGCGUAAAGCGUCCGCAGGUGGCUGUGUAAGUCUGCUGUUAAAGAGUCUAGCUCAACUAGAUAAAAGCAGUGGAAACUACACGGCUAGAGUACGUUCGGGGCAGAGGGAAUUCCUGGUGUAGCGGUGAAAUGCGUAGAUAUCGAGAGGAACACCUGCGGCGAAGGCGGGUUGCUGGGCCGACACUGACGCUGAGGCGCGAAAGCCAGGGGAGCGAACGGG